CCCUUAUCAAAUGGUAAAAUCUAAUGAUAAAACACACCAAACGAAUGGAUAACAACUGUCUUAUUUCUUACUCGGUACUGGCAUUUUCAAAUUUUGAAAAUGGUGGAUUGAACCUAGUUUUAUAGCACUUCACCUCUCACGUGUAUGACAGUCUCAUCAAAUCAUGUCAUAUUUACAACGAUGCGUGAAAAAAACAGACAUAAUAGGUAAAAUUGUCAAAAUAUGGGUACAACAGUCUAAUAUUAAUACUAAUCGGUACUAAUAUUGAUAUAACAAAAACACCGCUAUGAUAUUUUAAAAGUAUCGCAUUGAUAUUUUAAAGGUAUCGCAUUGUGUAUUUAUGUAUAUAAGAAAAA
Molecule: long non-coding RNA, 356 nt
Filed under: Mytilus galloprovincialis (Mediterranean mussel)
Lineage: Eukaryota; Metazoa; Mollusca; Bivalvia; Mytilida; Mytilidae
Source: RNAcentral